RNAcentral lists this ribosomal RNA (1570 nucleotides) under Cyclopes didactylus (silky anteater). Its description in RNAcentral is "16S ribosomal RNA". It matches the Rfam family "Bacterial large subunit ribosomal RNA". Lineage: Eukaryota; Metazoa; Chordata; Mammalia; Pilosa; Cyclopedidae. The record is from RNAcentral.
AACUAAACCUAGCCCAACAAACAAAACCAAUAAAAAUACACCCAAUCAUUUAACUAAAACAUUUAUCCCAAAUAAAAGAUAGGAGAUAGAAAUUAUUCUAAGGCGCUAUAGAGACAGUACCGUAAGGGAAAGAUGAAAGAAUAAUUAAUAGUAUAAAAAAGCAAAGAUUAACACUUGUACCUUUUGCAUAAUGAAUUAACCAGAACCCUCUUUGCAAAGAGUACUUAAGUAAAGUACCCCGAAUCCAGACGAUCUACCUGUAGAUAAUCUAAAGGAUCAACUCAUCUAUGUGGCAAAAUAGCGAGAAAAUCCCCAGGUAGCGGUGAAAAGCCAAUCGAGCCUGGCGAUAGCUGGUUGUCCAGAAUAGAAUUUAAGUUCAACUUAAAAUUUACUAAACAGAAAUAAAUACCUAAUCCCAAUGUAAAUUUUAAAUUUAAUCAAUAGAGGUACAGCUCUAUUGAUCUAGGAAAAGCCUCAAUUAGUGAGUAAUCCAAAACCAGCCCCUUAUAGUUGGCCUAAAAGCAGUCAUCAAUAAAGAAAGCGUUCAAGCUCAACAGGACCUACUCUAAAUACCAAAAAUUCCCACAACUCCUAAUUUAAUUACUGGACUAAUCUAUUAUUAUAGAAGGAAUACUGUUAAUAUAAGUAACAAGAAUAUUUUUCUCCAUGCACAAGCUUAUAUCAGAUCGGAUAAUCCACUGAUAAUUAACAAUUAAAUUGAUACAUCCACAAAAUAUAAAUCAACUCAAUAAAUUGUUAGCCCAACACAGGAGUGCAUAAUGGAAAGAUUAAAAGAAGUAGAAGGAACUCGGCAAACACAAACCCCGCCUGUUUACCAAAAACAUCACCUCUAGAAUUACAAUUAUUAGAGGCACCGCCUGCCCAGUGACACAUGUUAAACGGCCGCGGUAUUCUGACCGUGCAAAGGUAGCAUAAUCAUUUGUUCUCUAAUUAAGGACUAGCAUGAACGGCUUGACGAGGGUUUUACUGUCUCCUACCUCCAAUCAGUGAAAUUGACCUUCCCGUGAAGAGGCGGGAAUAAUAAUAUAAGACGAGAAGACCCUGUGGAGCUUAAAUUAUUAGCCCAAUAUAUAAUUAUUACUCCAAUAGGAACAACAAUCAACAAACUGGGCUAAAAAUUUUGGUUGGGGUGACCUCGGAGAACAAAAAAUCCUCCGAAUGRUUAACAUCUAGGCUUUACCAGCCGAAAUAUUCACUAUCAUAUAUUGAUCCAAGACAAUUGAGCAACGGAACAAGUUACCCCAGGGAUAACAGCGCAAUCCUAUUCUAGAGUCCCUAUCGACAAUAGGGUUUACGACCUCGAUGUUGGAUCAGGACAUCCUAAUGGCGCAACAGCUAUUAAAGGUUCGUUUGUUCAACGAUUAAAGUCCUACGUGAUCUGAGUUCAGACCGGAGCAAUCCAGGUCGGUUUCUAUCUAUAAAACUUUUCUCCCAGUACGAAAGGACAAGAGAAAUAAGGCCAACUUUACCAAAGAGCCUUGGAACAAAAUAGAUGAAUCCAUCUUAACCUAAUAUAUUCCAACAAAAAUAUAAUCCUAUAUAAGGAUUG